Molecule: ribosomal RNA, 244 nt
Filed under: uncultured Staphylococcus sp.
Lineage: Bacteria; Bacillati; Bacillota; Bacilli; Caryophanales; Staphylococcaceae
Description: partial 16S ribosomal RNA
Rfam family: Bacterial small subunit ribosomal RNA
Source: RNAcentral
CGGCGGACGGGUGAGUAACACGCGGAUAACCUACCUAUAAGACUGGGAUAACUUCGGGAAACCGGAGCUAAUACCGGAUAAUAUAUUGAACCGCAUGGUUCAAUAGUGAAAGACGGUUUUGCUGUCACUUAUAGAUGGAUCCGCGCCGCAUUAGCUAGUUGGUAAGGUAACGGCUUACCAAGGCAACGAUGCGUAGCCGACCUGAGAGGGUGAUCGGCCACAUUGGAACUGAGACACGGUCCAG